RNAcentral lists this ribosomal RNA (658 nucleotides) under uncultured bacterium. RNAcentral describes it as "bacterial SSU rRNA". It matches the Rfam family "Bacterial small subunit ribosomal RNA", at positions 87 to 753 of the family's 1533-position model. The record is from RNAcentral.
UGAGUACAGCGGCGCACGGGUGAGUAACACGUGGGUAAUCUGCCCUGAAGUGGGGAAUAACACCGGGAAACCGGUGCUAAUACCGCAUAUGAUCACGGUGUCUGCGGACACAGGGAUGAAAGGAGCAAUUCGCUUCAGGAGGAGCCCGCGGCUGAUUAGCUAGUUGGUGAGGUAAUGGCUCACCAAGGCUACGAUCAGUAUCCGGUCUGAGAGGACGGUCGGACACACUGGAACUGAGACACGGUCCAGACUCCUACGGGAGGCAGCAGUGGGGAAUUUUUCGCAAUGGGGGCAACCCUGACGAAGCAACGCCGCGUGGAUGAUGAAGUAUCUCGGUACGUAAAAUCCUUUCGACAGGGAAGAAACCGCAAGGUUGACGGUACCUGUAGAAGAAGCCCCGGCUAACUCCGUGCCAGCAGCCGCGGUAAUACGGGGGGGGCUAGCGUUGUUCGGAAUUACUGGGCGUAAAGGGCGCGUAGGCGGUCUAUUAAGUUGGAUGUGAAAACUCUGGGCUUAACUCAGAGCCUGCAUUCAAAACUGAUAGGCUGGAGUCCUGGAGGGGAUAGCGGAAUUCCUGGUGUAGCGGUGAAAUGCGUAGAUAUCAGGAGGAACACCGGUGGCGAAGGCGGCUAUCUGGACAGAAACUGACGCUGAGGCG